This 301-nucleotide ribosomal RNA is filed under the name uncultured bacterium. RNAcentral's name for it is "partial 16S ribosomal RNA". It matches the Rfam family "Bacterial small subunit ribosomal RNA", at positions 509 to 807 of the family's 1533-position model. The record is from RNAcentral.
CAGCAGCCACGGGAAUACGUAGGUGGCAAGCGUUGUCCGGAAUUAUUGGGCGUAAAGGGCUCGCAGGCGGUUUCUUAAGUCUGAUGUGAAAGCCCCCGGCUCAACCGGGGGGGGUCAUUGGAAACUGGGAAACUUGAGUGCAGAAGAGGAGAGUGGAAUUCCACGUGUAGCGGUGAAAUGCGUAGAGAUGUGGAGGAAUACCAGUGGCGAAGGCGACUCUCUGGUCUGUAACUGACGCUGAGGAGCGAAAGCGUGGGGAGCGAACAGGAUUAGAUACCCGCGUAGUCCCUGUCUCUUAUAC